Long non-coding RNA from Parus major (Great Tit), 1176 nucleotides. RefSeq lists it as uncharacterized. Lineage: Eukaryota; Metazoa; Chordata; Aves; Passeriformes; Paridae. The record is from RefSeq and is a predicted model, not a curated record. The transcript has 3 exons.
CGGGAGCGCCGCCGAUGCGGCCUGGGCCCGCGGGGACGGGCCCAGCGCGGCCUCCGCAUCCCCGGCCUUGCGUGACGGGGGUCGCCGCCCAUGGCGGCCCCUCCCCGGGGCUGCGCCGCUGGCGGUACCGGAGGCGGUACCGGAGGUCUCAGGCCCACGCGUGAGGCCCGGCUCCACCGCAGAUCGUGGUCUUCAGCUGUCUGGGUGUCAUUUCAAGUCAGGAAACAACUGCAAGGAUUGGAUUUCAUGAGUUCUGCAAAGAAAAUGCCUUUGUGAGGAGCAAGAGUGGUGAUUGCAGGAGAGCUGGGACAAAGGGACAGAGCAGAUACAGGAUUUCUCUGCUGGGAUUUUUCCAACAGGAUCCGUGUGACCUUUUGUGAUCCAGAACUAUUCCAUUGAAAGAGAAAGGAUAUUGGAAAAUCCCUGAGAGCCUGGUAUCUGGAACAAUGAGCAUUUCUGGAUGUGGGUGGCUCCUCUCCGUGUCCGAAGGCCGUGGUGGGGAUAUCUCACCACAUCUUCCCUCAGCACCAUUUUGGCCACGCCAGCCAUCCUGUACCUUCCCUGGAAUUUCAGAUUAUGCCUUUUCAUCUACUGAAAUAUUCCUCCCUGCAGAUUUAAAUAAUUAAUUGGGACGUGCCUAGUGGGUCUUGAGCUAAACUUCAGAGAGGCAGCAGAUAUGUGUGACCAAGUGACCUUUUGCUGUCCUGCUCGUCCCCGCGCGCUCGCUGUGCUCAAAGGGACGCUGUCAAAAUUGCUAGGCCUUAAAACUUUAACCCGCACUGACAAGUUGUUCUACAUUAUAAGUCUUCCCUAAAAGAUUACCACGAUUGUUUUGUUUGUUUUGUUCCAACCAUCUUUGCUGAAGGCUCCACAAUACGGAUUCAUUUGUCCUUUUGGGUAGGUGGAUAUUUUUAAAUGCCCGGCUUAUUCCGUGACCUGUUAAAAUCGAGUUGAUGUGCGUGUGCUCCACUCAGCGGAGAACUCGCCGGGGAUGGAGCGAUUUCUCUGCACUCUGGAACAAGAGACAGGAAUGCACUUGGGAAGCCUUUCUGGAGAGGCUUUGAGAAGCCAUUUUGAAGGGCCUCUUGUUAUCUUCAGUGCUUCGGAAGUCAUGACUGGACUUGCCUGUGAUACAAAGUGUUGUGUACUUGUUAGUGAAACGCCAGCUGGUUCUUA